GCCCCUAUAGCUCAGCUGGUAGAGCAUCUGAUUUGUAAUCAGAGGGUCCGCGGUUCGAGUCCGUGUGGGGGCACCA
This 76-nucleotide transfer RNA is filed under the name Roseovarius nubinhibens ISM. Its description in RNAcentral is "tRNA-Thr(tgt)". It matches the Rfam family "tRNA". From Rfam's summary of the family: Transfer RNA (tRNA) molecules are approximately 80 nucleotides in length. RNAcentral also lists the same sequence under 240 other names. The record is from RNAcentral. Lineage: Bacteria; Pseudomonadati; Pseudomonadota; Alphaproteobacteria; Rhodobacterales; Roseobacteraceae.